AAAUGGUACCCUAUUCCCUACAUAGUGCACUACUUUAGGGCCCUGGUCAAAAGCAGUGCACUAUGUAGGGAAUAGGGUCCCGUUU
Molecule: microRNA precursor, 85 nt
Filed under: Salmo salar (Atlantic salmon)
Lineage: Eukaryota; Metazoa; Chordata; Actinopteri; Salmoniformes; Salmonidae
Description: mir-130 microRNA precursor family
Source: Rfam by way of RNAcentral